UGGGGAAUAUUGCACAAUGGGCGCAAGCCUGAUGCAGCCAUGCCGCGUGUGUGAAGAAGGCCUUCGGUUGUAAAGCACUUUCAGCGAGGAGGAAGGUGGUGAGCUUAAUACGCUCAUCAAUUGACGUUACUCGCAGAAGAAGCACCGGCUAACUCCGUGCCAGCAGCCGCGGUAAUACGGAGGGUGCAAGCGUUAAUCGGAAUUACUGGGCGUAAAGCGCACGCAGGCGGUUUGUUAAGUCAGAUGUGAAAUCCCCGGGCUCAACCUGGGAACUGCAUUUGAAACUGGCAAGCUAGAGUCUCGUAGAGGGGGGUAGAAUUCCAGGUGUAGCGGUGAAAUGCGUAGAGAUCUGGAGGAAUACCGGUGGCGAAGGCGGCCCCCUGGACGAAGACUGACGCUCAGGUGCGAAAGCGUGGGGCAGCAAACAGGAUUAGAUACCCUGGUAGUCCACGCUGUAAACGAUGUCGAUUUGGAGGUUGUGCCCUUGAGGCGUGGCUUCCGGAGCUAACGCGUUAAAUCGACCGCCUGGGGAGUACGGCCGCAAGGUUAAAACUCAAAUGAAUUGACGGGGUC
RNAcentral lists this ribosomal RNA (573 nucleotides) under uncultured bacterium. RNAcentral describes it as "partial 16S ribosomal RNA". It matches the Rfam family "Bacterial small subunit ribosomal RNA", at positions 355 to 920 of the family's 1533-position model. The record is from RNAcentral.